AAAAACAUCAUGAUGAACCCAUUUACGGAUGUAAAAAUACAUAACAAUCAUCCGAGAGCGCAAAAACCCAUGUGGAAUUUUCCGUUGCCUUCCUUCUGACCCCCUUU
Molecule: small nucleolar RNA, 107 nt
Filed under: Galerina marginata CBS 339.88
Lineage: Eukaryota; Fungi; Basidiomycota; Agaricomycetes; Agaricales; Galerinaceae
Description: Small nucleolar RNA Z13/snr52
Rfam family: Small nucleolar RNA Z13/snr52
About the family: Z13 or snr52 is a member of the C/D class of snoRNA which contain the C (UGAUGA) and D (CUGA) box motifs. Most of the members of the box C/D family function in directing site-specific 2'-O-methylation of substrate RNAs.
Source: Rfam by way of RNAcentral